This 239-nucleotide long non-coding RNA is filed under the name Populus trichocarpa (black cottonwood). RNAcentral's name for it is "long non-coding RNA (PTRI_LNC002654)". The record is from RNAcentral. Lineage: Eukaryota; Viridiplantae; Streptophyta; Magnoliopsida; Malpighiales; Salicaceae.
GUCAUUUCACGAGAGACGAUGGAUUCUUUGAUGGGCUGGAACUUAAAGGACUGAAGAUCAUAUGAAGGUUGUGUUAAGGACAUGGAAAUGGCAGGAGAGGUGGAUUUUAUGGGAGUGAAACGUGUAGUAGUUGUGAUAGGUGUGCCAUGGAAGGAUGAUUUGUUGUCCAAGAAAGAGGACUUGAGGUUUGCAGAUAGAUAGGGGGUAAGGGUAGUGGCCAUGGCUGUAAUUCAAGGAGU